UUUUUCCAGUGAGACUAUGCCAUAAAAAAAGAAGAGAGGAACUGGAACUGAUUAAAGGAUAUGCUGGAAACUGAAAAAAGCUCUUUGAAGAGAAGAAGCAGCAGCAGGAUGGAGUUCAGGAGGAGGUGGGGCUUCCCUGUUACCAGGGUUACCAGGGUGCUGUCAGUCCUCAUGCUGGGUGUCUGCAGUGCCAGUGCCAGUGCCAGUGCCAGUGAGUUUGUGAAAGUCCCGAGCUCUGUGAACUGAACUGUGGGUCAGGACUGCAUCCUGAAUGCACCUACGACUACAGAGCUGGAGGAGACUGGGAGAUGGAACCGGACUAUAAGGAGAAUUAACUCUGCCGAGGAAGACUCCACCCUGAAUCGGACCCGGGA
Polyodon spathula (Mississippi paddlefish) is the source of this 374-nucleotide long non-coding RNA. RefSeq lists it as uncharacterized. The transcript has 3 exons. Lineage: Eukaryota; Metazoa; Chordata; Actinopteri; Acipenseriformes; Polyodontidae. The record is from RefSeq and is a predicted model, not a curated record.